UACGAAGGGGGCUAGCGUUGUUCGGAAUCACUGGGCGAAAAGCGCACGUAGGCGGAUUGUUAAGUCAGGGGUGAAAUCCCGAGGCUCAACCUCGGAACUGCCUUUGAUACUGGCGAUCUAGAGUCCGGGAGAGGUGAGUGGAACUGCGAGUGUAGAGGUGAAAUUCGUAGAUAUUCGCAAGAACACCAGUGGCGAAGGCGGCUCACUGGCCCGGAACUGACGCUGAGGUGCGAAAGCGUUGGGAGCAAACAGG
Molecule: ribosomal RNA, 253 nt
Filed under: uncultured bacterium
Lineage: Bacteria
Description: partial 16S ribosomal RNA
Rfam family: Bacterial small subunit ribosomal RNA
Source: RNAcentral